RNAcentral lists this ribosomal RNA (453 nucleotides) under uncultured bacterium. RNAcentral describes it as "bacterial SSU rRNA". It matches the Rfam family "Bacterial small subunit ribosomal RNA", at positions 340 to 786 of the family's 1533-position model. The record is from RNAcentral.
UACGGAAGGCAGCAGUGGGGAAUAUUGCACAAUGGGCGCAAGCCUGAUGCAGCCAUGCCGCGUGUAUGAAAAAGGCCUUCGGGUUGUAAAGUACUUUCAGUCGUGAGGAAGGUGUUAAGGUUAAUAACCUUAGCAAUUGACGUUAGCGACAGAAGAAGCACCGGCUAACUCCGUGCCAGCAGCCGCGGUAAUACGGAGGGUGCGAGCGUUAAUCGGAAUUACUGGGCGUAAAGGGCACGCAGGCGGUUAAUUAAGUUGGAUGUGAAAUCCCCGGGCUUAACCUGGGAAUGGCAUUCAAGACUGGUUAGCUAGAGUCUUGUAGAGGGGGUGAAAUUCCAUGUGUAGCGGUGAAAUGCGUAGAGAUGUGGAGGAAUACCGGUGGCGAAGGCGGCCCCUGGACAAAGACUGACGCUCAUGUGCGAAAGCGUGGGGAGCAAACAGGGAUUAGAUACC